RNAcentral lists this ribosomal RNA (254 nucleotides) under uncultured bacterium. RNAcentral describes it as "partial 16S ribosomal RNA". It matches the Rfam family "Bacterial small subunit ribosomal RNA", at positions 524 to 776 of the family's 1533-position model. The record is from RNAcentral.
UACGGGGGGAGCAAGCGUUGUUCGGAUUUACUGGGCGUAAAGGGCGCGUAGGCGGUCAGCACAAGUCAGUUGUGAAAUCUCCGGGCUUAACUCGGAAAGGUCAACUGAUACUGUGCGACUAGAGUGCAGAAGGGGCAACUGGAAUUCUCGGUGUAGCGGUGAAAUGCGUAGAUAUCGAGAGGAACACCGGUGGCGAAGGCGGCCUUCUGGACAGUGACUGACGCUGAGGCGCGAAAGCUGGGGGAGCGAACGGG